This 746-nucleotide long non-coding RNA is filed under the name Vulpes vulpes (red fox). RNAcentral describes it as "lncRNA (ENSVVUG00000011586.1)". The record is from RNAcentral. Lineage: Eukaryota; Metazoa; Chordata; Mammalia; Carnivora; Canidae.
CAAAUAAUUAUGAUUAUACAAAUUCUAUUUUGCCCUCAGGUCAGAAGAAACUAUUUCCUACUUAUUCUUUCCUUUCCCUGAAAAUAAUCUUGGCCAAAGGAAUAAUCUUGGCAAAAGGAAAAAAUCUUGGCCAAUGGAAGACUCUCCUCAGCAAUCUGUAUCUCAGGUUAGAAGCAAAGGAAAGGUCAACAAAAGAGAGAAUCUCUGUCCUGAUGUCCACGAACUGCUUGCUCCAGCUUUCUCACCUUAGGGUUUAACUCCAAGAUCAUUUCACCAAGUUAACCCUCAGUUACUGUUGCCAGCAGAUGGGGAAUCUUGUCCAAAGUAUCAGAACAAGAGCAAAGCAAGCUUGCAAGAAACCGAAUUACCCAGCUAUUAAACAAAGACAGGAGGCAAGAAAGAUCAUACCCACACUAAAGGAAGCUUAGAAUUUUAAUACCCUCCAAUGUUAAAGAACUAAACUUCUUUAUGUUUAUAAGAUUCCCUUCAUUACUCAUGCCUCUACCACCAACCCCAUCUCCUGCCCCAGCCACUUUACAGACACUUCAUAUCUAAAUAUUUACAAAUCAGGAAGAAAUAAGAAAAACUUUAAUGACUGCUGUUUUGUCAUACUGGCAAGGAUUCCCCCUAUGAGUGACAACUCAUGACCAUUAGCAGAGGAAUUCCUGCCCCAGAUAAGCAUCUGAGGGUUUGAUAUGCUGCGAUUUUAAAAGUUUGAAAUAAUAAACACAAUUUCACUAAAGGCA